RNAcentral lists this ribosomal RNA (402 nucleotides) under uncultured bacterium. RNAcentral describes it as "bacterial SSU rRNA". It matches the Rfam family "Bacterial small subunit ribosomal RNA", at positions 976 to 1380 of the family's 1533-position model. The record is from RNAcentral.
AAAUCUUGACAUCCUAUUGACAGUCCUCAUAAAAGGGAUUUCUUCGGACAAUAGAGACAGGUGGUGCAUGGUUGUCGUCAGCUCGUGUCGUGAGAUGUUGGGUUAAGUCCCGCAACGAGCGCAACCCUUGCCUUUAGUAGCCAGCAUUUAAGGUGGGCACUCUAAAGGGACUGCCGGGGACAACCCGGAGGAAGGUGGGGAUGACGUCAAAUCAUCAUGCCCCUUAUGAUUUGGGCUACACACGUGCUACAAUGGCGUAAACAAAGGGAAGCGAACCCGUGAGGGCAAGCAAAUCCCAAAAAUAACGUCUCAGUUCGGAUUGUAGUCUGCAACCCGACUACAUGAAGCUGGAAUCGCUAGUAAUCGCGAAUCAGAAUGUCGCGGUGAAUACGUUCCCGGGUC